ACCAGCGGAGGGAUCAUUACCGAGUUUACAACUCCCAAACCCAAUGUGAACGUUACCAAACUGUUGCCUCGGCGGGAUCUCUGCCCCGGGUGCGUCGCAGCCCCGGACCAAGGCGCCCGCCGGAGGACCAACCUAAAACUCUUAUUGUAUACCCCCUCGCGGGUUUUUUUAUAAUCUGAGCCUUCUCGGCGCCUCUCGUAGGCGUUUCGAAAAUGAAUCAAAACUUUCAACAACGGAUCUCUUGGUUCUGGCAUCGAUGAAGAACGCAGCGAAAUGCGAUAAGUAAUGUGAAUUGCAGAAUUCAGUGAAUCAUCGAAUCUUUGAACGCACAUUGCGCCCGCCAGUAUUCUGGCGGGCAUGCCUGUCCGAGCGUCAUUUCAACCCUCGAACCCCUCCGGGGGGUCGGCGUUGGGGAUCGGCCCUGCCUUGGCGGUGGCCGUCUCCGAAAUACAGUGGCGGUCUCGCCGCAGCCUCUCCUGCGCAGUAGUUUGCACACUCGCAUCGGGAGCGCGGCGCGUCCACAGCCGUUAAACACCCAACUUCUGAAAUGUGACCUCGGAU
Molecule: ribosomal RNA, 561 nt
Filed under: Trichoderma harzianum
Lineage: Eukaryota; Fungi; Ascomycota; Sordariomycetes; Hypocreales; Hypocreaceae
Description: eukaryotic LSU rRNA
Rfam family: 5.8S ribosomal RNA (bases 222-375)
Source: RNAcentral